GAAGCGGCAACAGCUCAAAUUUGAAAUCUGGCCCUUUCGGGGUCCGAGUUGUAAUUUGUAGAGAGUGUUUCGGGUGAGAUCACGGUCUAAGUCCAUUGGAACAUGGCGUCAUAGAGGGUGAGAAUCCCGUAUGUGACUGUGGAUCGAGCCCAUGUGAAGCCUCUUCGACGAGUCGAGUUGUUUGGGAAUGCAGCUCAAAAUGGGUGGUAAAUUUCAUCUAAAGCUAAAUACCGGCUGGAGACCGAUAGCGCACAAGUAGAGUGAUCGAAAGAUGAAAAGCACUUUGGAAAGAGAGUCAAACAGUACGUGAAAUUGUUGAAAGGGAAGCGCUUGCAACCAGACCUGUCCGUAGGUGAUCAGCCGCUGUUCUCAGUGGUGCACUCGCUCUGCGAUCAGGCCAGCAUCGGUUCGGGCGGUCGGAUAAAGGCCUUGGGAAUGUAGCUUCUUUCGGGGAGCCUUAUAGCCCUCGGUGCAAUGCGGCCAGCCGGGACCGAGGACCGCGCUUCGGCUAGGAUGCUGGCGUAAUGGUUGUAAGCGACCCGUCUUGAAACACGGACCAAGGAGUCUAACAUCUAUGCGAGUGUUUGGGUGUUAAACCCAUGCGCGGAAUGAAAGUGAACGGAGGUGAGAACCCCUAAGGGCGCAUCAUCGACCGAUCCAGAUGUCUUCGGAUGGAUUUGAGUAUGAGCAUAGCUGUUGGGACCCGAAAGAUGGUGAACUAUGCCUGAAUAGGGUGAAGCCAGAGGAAACUCUGGUGGAGGCUCGCAGCGGUUCUGACGUGCAAAUCGAUCGU
This 793-nucleotide ribosomal RNA is filed under the name Hypogymnia schizidiata. RNAcentral describes it as "partial large subunit ribosomal RNA". It matches the Rfam family "Eukaryotic large subunit ribosomal RNA", at positions 95 to 905 of the family's 3401-position model. Lineage: Eukaryota; Fungi; Ascomycota; Lecanoromycetes; Lecanorales; Parmeliaceae. The record is from RNAcentral.